GCCUGCACAGAUCAGUAACUUUACAGCCAUGCUCUUCGCUCUGGCGAUUGCCGGCGCUGCAUUCUUGCUCCUGCUCAAGCUUGUCUCCCGCAUUGUCGUGAACCUCACCAGCCUGCUGCUUGGUCAUUGCACCUAGUACCUCGCCGAAGGGAGAGCUAACGAUGCGGGUACAGUCGUGGAAGCCAUACAUCAGGUCUCGACCCUCGCCCUGCAGUUCGACGCAAGGCAGAAAGGAUCCUGCCGCAGGCACCACACCGCAGCCUCCUCGUGAUAGCCGGGUGGCACUACUGAACCACCUCCGCGGUCGAGCACCUUCCUCGGAGUCUUCCAGGCUCGCGACGACUGCACCGCUGCCUCCUCGUUUCCAAAUUCGGGCGUGCCGCCUGGUGCGGGGACGUGUUGUUGGAGUGUGGCGUCCCCGAAGGGACCCCGCACUUGUGACAUCCGAUUUGUGAUACAAGUUCGUGGUUACCAUUUCGGUAGAACGACAGUCCACAAGCGGAGUAAAUGUUUACAGGAAUUUGUUGCGAGGCCUCAUCAUGGCACUUUCGGAUUUCGCCUUGGACAGGGCUGGUUCUGGUCGAGGCCAUCGAUGGCGCCUAUAGCGGUGCCCUCAGGAGUCGACACUCGCCGGCAGCCGAGAACAGAGUGGGCAGCCAGACUACCAAGUGCACAGGUCGGGACAUGACCACGCGGGAACCGGGCCCGAGCAGCGGGCUCCACACCAGCGCCGGCACACGGAUUCCGCCUUCCCACAGCGUGCCCUUGACGCCUCGCAGCGGGCAGUUGGAGCCAGUGUUCGAGAACGUUCCCCACGGCAUGGCACCGUUGUCACUGGUGAACACGAUGAAGCUGUUGCCGAGCGUGCAACGUCUGUGCAGGGCCUCGACGAUGCGGCCGACGGACUCGUCCAAUGCGUCCACCGCGCCUGGUGAGAGCCAGCCGUAACAUGCUAGGUUUAGCUUGACGUACUCGUAAUGUGACCAAAGGAGGUUAUUGCAGCCGCUAGGGUAAGCAUCAAACGUACACUGAAACGGAUUUGUCGUCUACAACAACUGUAAAGGACACCAAGAAAAGACAGCCGUAUUUGUUCGAAUAAAGGUCGACGUUGUUUCUUUGUUUUCGAAAA
Long non-coding RNA from Dermacentor albipictus, 1129 nucleotides. RefSeq lists it as uncharacterized. NCBI's taxonomy places the organism in Eukaryota, Metazoa, Arthropoda, Arachnida, Ixodida, Ixodidae. The record is from RefSeq and is a predicted model, not a curated record.